Perca flavescens (yellow perch) is the source of this 282-nucleotide long non-coding RNA. RefSeq lists it as uncharacterized. The record is from RefSeq and is a predicted model, not a curated record. The transcript is spliced from 4 exons. Lineage: Eukaryota; Metazoa; Chordata; Actinopteri; Perciformes; Percidae.
UUUGCAGCUGUUGCCGUUGCAUGUGGAGGAAUGCAAUGGCACAUUGACUGAGAGUGAAUCUGGGACAUGUCUUGAUGAAGAUUGUUCAGUUCUUGAGCAGCCAGUCCCAUCUACAAUAGGCAUGGAUGAAUCCUUGGCGGUCUGCCCAAUCUGUCUUGCAUCAUACCCAGCUGAUUUUCUCCCAUCUCAUGCAAGCCCAUGUGGUGACAGAAUGAACUGUGCUCAACCCAGCGUAGCAGCCAGUCCCCCAAUGGGAGAAGAAUUGCCAGGACCCUCAGUUCC